AACGAACGCUGGCGGCAGGCCUAACACAUGCAAGUCGAGCGAGGACUUCGGUCUUAGCGGCGGACGGGUGAGUAACGCGUGGGAACGUGCCCUUUGCUUCGGAAUAGCCCUGGGAAACUGGGAGUAAUACCGGAUGAGCCCUUUGGGGGAAAGAUUUAUCGGCGAAGGAUCGGCCCGCGUUGGAUUAGGUAGUUGGUGGGGUAAUGGCCUACCAAGCCGACGAUCCAUAGCUGGUUUGAGAGGAUGAUCAGCCACACUGGGACUGAGACACGGCCCAGACUCCUACGGGAGGCAGCAGUGGGGAAUCUUAGACAAUGGGGGAAACCCUGAUCUAGCCAUGCCGCGUGAGCGAUGAAGGCCUUAGGGUUGUAAAGCUCUUUCAGCUGGGAAGAUAAUGACGGUACCAGCAGAAGAAGCCCCGGCUAACUCCGUG
This 433-nucleotide ribosomal RNA is filed under the name uncultured bacterium. RNAcentral's name for it is "partial 16S ribosomal RNA". It matches the Rfam family "Bacterial small subunit ribosomal RNA", at positions 29 to 507 of the family's 1533-position model. The record is from RNAcentral.